RNAcentral lists this long non-coding RNA (221 nucleotides) under Ananas comosus (pineapple). RNAcentral describes it as "long non-coding RNA (ACOM_LNC042048)". Lineage: Eukaryota; Viridiplantae; Streptophyta; Magnoliopsida; Poales; Bromeliaceae. The record is from RNAcentral.
CAGAGUUGGAGGUUCUGAUGAUUUCCUUCCAUUUAAUUCAAGUCUACGUCAACCACGGAUGUGAGAGAAAGUAUUAAAUAUAAAAAUAUAAAAAAUAAAAAAUAUAAUUAUUUUUUUAUUUAAUUCAAGCUCGUAGACUUAUUAAAAAAUCUCAAGCCCAAAGGUGCUUCAUUGUUUAAAUAGUUUAAAUUUUUGAAGAAAAACUGUUUCUUCGUGUUAUU